ACUGGAGUUUGAUCCUGGCUCAGAUUGAACGCUGGCGGCAGGCCUAACACAUGCAAGUCGAGCGGCAGCGGGAAAGUAGCUUGCUACUUUUGCCGGCGAGCGGCGGACGGGUGAGUAAUGCCUGGGGAUCUGCCCAGUCGAGGGGGAUAACAGUUGGAAACGACUGCUAAUACCGCAUACGCCCUGCGGGGGAAAGGAGGGGACCUUCGGGCCUUUCGCGAUUGGAUGAACCCAGGUGGGAUUAGCUAGUUGGUGGGGUAAUGGCUCACCAAGGCGACGAUCCCUAGCUGGUCUGAGAGGAUGAUCAGCCACACUGGAACUGAGACACGGU
RNAcentral lists this ribosomal RNA (331 nucleotides) under uncultured Aeromonas sp. RNAcentral describes it as "bacterial SSU rRNA". It matches the Rfam family "Bacterial small subunit ribosomal RNA", at positions 1 to 330 of the family's 1533-position model. Lineage: Bacteria; Pseudomonadati; Pseudomonadota; Gammaproteobacteria; Aeromonadales; Aeromonadaceae. The record is from RNAcentral.